This 546-nucleotide ribosomal RNA is filed under the name uncultured bacterium. RNAcentral describes it as "partial 16S ribosomal RNA". It matches the Rfam family "Bacterial small subunit ribosomal RNA", at positions 356 to 912 of the family's 1533-position model. The record is from RNAcentral.
UGGGAAUAUUGCACAAUGGGCGAAAGCCUGAUGCAGCAACGCCGCGUGCGGGAUGACGGCCUUCGGGUUGUAAACCGCUUUCAGCAGGGACGAAGGUUUUCUGACGGUACCUGCAGAAGAAGCACCGGCUAACUACGUGCCAGCAGCCGCGGUGAUACGUAGGGUGCGAGCGUUGUCCGGAAUUAUUGGGCGUAAAGAGCUUGUAGGCGGUCCGUUGCGUCGGAAGUGAAAACUCAGGGCUUAACCCUGAGCCUGCUUUCGAUACGGGCGGACUUGAGGGAUGUAGGGGAGAACGGAAUUCCUGGUGGAGCGGUGGAAUGCGCAGAUAUCAGGAGGAACACCAGUGGCGAAGGCGGUUCUCUGGACAUUUCCUGACGCUGAGAAGCGAAAGCGUGGGGAGCAAACAGGCUUAGAUACCCUGGUAGUCCACGCCGUAAACGGUGGGCACUAGGUGUGGGACCCAUUCCACGGGUUCCGUGCCGUAGCUAACGCAUUAAGUGCCCCGCCUGGGGAGUACGGCCGCAAGGCUAAAACUCAAAGGAAUUG